GACGAACUGUCCUAACGUUGUUCGGAAUCACUGGCUUAAAGGGCGCGUAGGCGGUCCGACAAGUCAGGGGUGAAAUCCUGCAGCUUAACUGCAGAAGUGCCUUUGAUACUGUCGGUCUGGAGGGAGAUAGGGGUGUGCGGAACUUCCAGUGGAGCGGUGAAAUGCGUUGAUAUUGGAAGGAACGCCGGAGGCGAAAGCGGCGCACUGGAUCUCUUCUGACGCUGAGGCGCGAAAGCUAGGGGAGCAAACGGG
This 252-nucleotide ribosomal RNA is filed under the name uncultured bacterium. RNAcentral describes it as "partial 16S ribosomal RNA". It matches the Rfam family "Bacterial small subunit ribosomal RNA", at positions 524 to 776 of the family's 1533-position model. The record is from RNAcentral.